ACGGGAGCUGGUUUAUUACCCCUUUUGCACCCUACCUUUCAAAGGGGAUUAACCCGGCCAAAGUCGAACUAUUCCCCCUUAAACCAGGGGCCCCCCUGGGGGGUUUUGGUUAAAAAAUUUCCUUAAUAAUUGGCCUUGCUUCCCUUUAGGUAUUUGGGGAGGUACCGCUUCCCCAACCCAACAAUGGUUAGGGAACCUAAAAGGUGGGCCCCCCCCCCCGGUCCUGAAACCCGAACCAAACCCCUCCGGAAGGCACCAUGAGGAAAUUUGGUCCAUGGGCCGGAACCCUAACCCACCCAAUCCCCUGGAAGAAAAAAGGACCUUUGGUCCUAAACCUCCUUUUUCAGGGAAUUAAAUUGCGGAACUGGCCCGGUUUUGAUGUCCCCCGGAAAUUAAGGUCCGCUUAAUUCCUGGCCACCACCCCCGUAAUUCCGAAGAACCCAACGGUUUCCCGAAUUUUUGGGUUUGAAGGGUG
This 475-nucleotide ribosomal RNA is filed under the name bacterium E71. RNAcentral describes it as "partial 16S ribosomal RNA". It matches the Rfam family "Bacterial small subunit ribosomal RNA", at positions 95 to 569 of the family's 1533-position model. The record is from RNAcentral.